RNAcentral lists this ribosomal RNA (449 nucleotides) under Porphyromonas sp. oral taxon 279. Its description in RNAcentral is "bacterial SSU rRNA". It matches the Rfam family "Bacterial small subunit ribosomal RNA", at positions 28 to 466 of the family's 1533-position model. The record is from RNAcentral. Lineage: Bacteria; Pseudomonadati; Bacteroidota; Bacteroidia; Bacteroidales; Porphyromonadaceae.
GAUGAACGCUAGCGAUAGGCUUAACACAUGCAAGUCGAGGGGCAGCAUGGUCUUAGCUUGCUAAGACUGAUGGCGACCGGCGCACGGGUGCGUAACGCGUAUGCAACUUGCCUCACAGAGGGGGAUAACCCGUCGAAAGACGGACUAAUACCGCGUACACUCCAUCUUGGGCAUCCAAGGUAGAGGAAAAGAAAUUCGCUGUGAGAUAGGCAUGCGUCCCAUUAGCUAGUUGGUGAGGUAACGGCUCACCAAGGCGACGAUGGGUAGGGGAACUGAGAGGUUGAACCCCCACACUGGUACUGAGACACGGACCAGACUCCUACGGGAGGCAGCAGUGAGGAAUAUUGGUCAAUGGGCGAGAGCCUGAACCAGCCAAGUCGCGUGAAGGAUGACUGUCUUAUGGAUUGUAAACUUCUUUUAUACGGGAAUAACAAGAGUCACGUGUGACU